Molecule: transfer RNA, 74 nt
Filed under: Bacillota bacterium
Lineage: Bacteria; Bacillati; Bacillota
Also listed under: 2 other names
Description: tRNA-Pro
Rfam family: tRNA
About the family: Transfer RNA (tRNA) molecules are approximately 80 nucleotides in length. Their secondary structure includes four short double-helical elements and three loops (D, anti-codon, and T loops).
Source: RNAcentral
CGGGGCGUGGCGCAGCCUGGUAGCGCAUCUGCUUUGGGAGCAGAGGGUCGCUGGUUCAAAUCCAGUCGCCCCGA